This 4722-nucleotide long non-coding RNA is filed under the name Salmo salar (Atlantic salmon). RNAcentral describes it as "lncRNA (ENSSSAG00000085036.1, ENSSSAG00000097965.1)". Lineage: Eukaryota; Metazoa; Chordata; Actinopteri; Salmoniformes; Salmonidae. The record is from RNAcentral.
CGGCGGAAGAAUCACAUUCAGAUCACUUUGCACAUGCAGUUUCAAUUUGAGGAGCUGUGUGUGUGUGGGUUUGUGUGUCUGAUGUCCCAUGGGAAUAUCAGGGAUUUUUCUUCCCAGAUACCCCCACCCCACAAACAGCCCAAGGACACAGAGUAUUACCUUCCACUUUCGUUUCCUGGGAGAAUCUACUGAUGCUGGGAAACUUAAGGUUCUUCUCUAGGUCAUCAGUGUGAGGUGAAAUACGACUCCUCUCCUCUACUCCAACAACCUUCACAGGACGAAGAGAGGGAUGUGUGUUAGGUGACUGAGCGAGGGACGGACUCUCCUUUGAUGAUCGUUACAGAACUACCCACCACAACUGGAUCAAGCAGCGUGCUCGGGAGGAGAUGGACACCUGGUCUCAUCAGGAGUGGAUUGGGAGGAAAGACUAGACAUGGGGCCAGGUGAUCGAAAGAUAUCGGAGCCUACCCGGGAAGAACGAGAGGCAGCCCCAAAAAUUUUUUUUGGGGGGGGCACAUGGGUAGUUCGGCUGGACCAGGGGUGAGGCCUGAGUCAACUACCCAUGCUUUUCAGGUGCCUGCCUCUCGCACUUUCUCUCCAGUACGUCCUGUUCCUGCUCACCGCACUAGCCUGAAGGUGUGUGUUACUAGUCUGGCGUCUCCAAAGCCAGUCCCACGCAUCAGGCCUAAAGUGCGCAUUCCCCGUCCAGAGCUUCCGGCGACAGUUCCCCGUCCUGAGCUUCCGGCGACAGUUCCCCGUCCUGAGCUUCCGGCGACAGUUCCCCGUCCUGAGCUUCCGGCGACAGUUCCCCGUCCUGAGCUUCCGGCGACAGUUUACAGUCCGGAGCCGACAGAGACGGCCGACAGUCCGGAGCCGACAGAGACGCUCCUCAGCCCGGAGCCUCCAGUGGGUCUCUCCAGCCUGGUCUGUCCUGUGCCUCCUCCCAGGACCAGGCCUCCUGUGGGUCUCCCCAGCCUGGUGAGUCCUGUUCCUGCGCCCAGAGCCAGGCCUCCUUCAUGUCUCCUCAGCCUGGUGAAUCCUGGGCCAGAGCUGCCAGAGCCGCCCGCCUGUCCGGAGCUGCCAGAGCCGCCCGCCUGUCCGGAGCUGCCAGAGCCGCCCGCCUGUCCGGAGUUGCCAGGGUCGGUCGCCAGCCGGGCACAGCCAGGGUCUCCCACCAGUCCUCCGGCGCAGCCAGGGGCGCCACCUAAGUGGGUGAAACCGAGGGUAGAGCAGAGGCCACGUCCCGCACCUGAGCCACCGCCAUGAUCGUUACAACUAUGUACAGACUCAGUGAUCAUAGCCUUGCUAUUGAGAAAGGCCGCCGUAGGCAGACCUGGCUCUCAAGAGAAGACAGGCUAUGUGCACACUGCCCACAAAUGAGGUGGAAACUGAACUGCACUUCCUAACCUCCUGCCAAAUGUGGGAGAGCAGAGAACCGCACGGGAACUGACCUUUAUGUAAUCAGAGUCAUAGAACAGGCCUAUAGAAGAGGUGAAGACAGGUCAGCGUCAACAAGGAUACAAUGAGGUGACAUAGCAAAUUGAAACAGUUCGUUCCAGUCAUUGGCAGCAGAGAACUGGAAGGAGAGACGGCUAAAGGAGGAAUUGGCUUUGGGGGUGACCAGAGAGAUAUACCUGCUGGAGCGCGUGCUACAGGGUUGUGCUAAUGACACCAGUUUGUGUCUGUGAAUCUGCCCGGGAGUCACGCGGGGAACGGAGAGUCUCUGGAGUCUAAACUAAACUGAUAGACCGGAGGAGGAGGUGUCCCACUGUCUGAGUGAGUCUCUCGCUCUGAGAGAGAGAGAGAGAGAGAGAGAGAGAGAGAGAGAGAGAGAGAUCUGCGAUAGCGUUUAAGCACCAUGGACAGCAACCGGGAGCCAUUCUCGUUAACAACCAACCAGCGGGAAGUUUAGAGCAGCUCGCUCUCCUCUAAGUGUUGACCGGAGGAGCUCCCAUUUUCAGAGACGACUCACUUUUGGAUUUGGAAAUAAUGAUCUAGUCUUUGUUCAUGCAGGUUAGUGUCUGAUAAAAAAUAGCUAAAUAAAUAUAUAGAAAAUCUACUCGACAUCAUUCCCUGAUCUCCUGUCCAAAACUUUCCUCAGCACUGGGAUAUGGACUAACAUCACGCCAUCCGCCACGGGCCGACAGGCGGACACCGGCUCCUCCAGGCUCGGGUUGCUAGUUGGCACAAAAACAUGACAUUUUCUGAAAUGGGAUGAAACAGGACUUAUCCAUUUCAGUUCAUCUUUAUUUAAUCAGAGUAGUGACUGUUUUCCAGGGAGUAGCCUAAGAAAGGCUUGUUUUCGUUUGCUGCCGACCCUCCUGACUGAGGCCGACCUCGGAGGACAGACCGGCUGGUCUCCAGGAGGAUGCCCGGGCAGGAUGUGCUCCAGCCGGAAGAUCCUGUGGAGCCUGCUGCUGCUGUCAGUGUUGGAGGUGGGUCUGGGAGUGACCAGUAUCGUCCUGGGAGCCGUGGGGCUCAGCCGGGUCAGGGAGGAACACAAGCUGCAGCAAGGAGACGCUUCUCCUGUCUGGAGCGGCAUGUGUUUUCUAAUCUGUGGGAUGUGUGGAGUGCUCUGUGCCAGGAAGAGGACUGGACUCAUCAUGAUUCUGUUCUCAGCUUGCUGUAUCUGUGGUCUGAUUGGAGGGAUUCUCAACUUCCAGUUCGUUAGGGCGUUGUCACGACGACCGGACUCUCUUCGUUCCCUACACCUAGCAGCCAUGACUAUUGCCUGCCUGGGUAUCUCUUCCUGUACCCUCUCCACCUGGUUGACCUGUCGUCUGGCCAGUUCAGAACAGCAGAGGAUGUUUCUGGAGAGAGAACACUCACUGCACCACUCACACGAGAUGGCUGAGAAGGAUUCAUACACACACGGAUCUUUUGAGAUCCUUGACAACUCCAGCAAUGGGAUUCCCCAGAUCUCCUACAAUGCUAACACCACAUCUCCUUGACAAUGGAACCACCUUGUUGCCCUGACAACUGGCACAUCUUGUAACCCUGACAAUGGAACCACCUUGUUGCCCUGACAAUGGACACAACUUGCUGCCCUGAUGAUGUACACACCUUGUUGCCCUGACAACGGAGUGAUGUCGUAACAGAGCUGAGCAGCAUUAUUGCAGAGCUGUUUGUAGAGAACUUCAGCACAGAUGGAAGAAGUUUCCCAAAAUAAAACAACAAUGAACGCUAUUCUUGAACAAGUUGUUCCGAGGUCUGAUAGUCCUAACACACAGAGCCCCAUGACAUAUGCCCUCACAGACAGGAGGGACAGACAGCCAAUCAGACGCUUCAAACUAAUUAUCACAAAACACGCAUGCAAUUUAUUUUAAAUCUCUCUCUCCCAUUCCUCCCUCUCCCUCAUUCCUCUCUCUCAUUCCUAUCUCCCUCUCCCAUUCCUCUCUCUCUCUCCCAUUCCUCUCUCUCUCCCUCCCUCCCUCCCUCCCUCCCUCCCCCUGGUUCUGGCUAUAUGAAUGUAGGUGUAUGAAGGAACAGUGCUUUAGCGAUCUAAUACAGAGCAGAAUAUGGAAUUAUUUAAAGUAUCAGACAGACGACCAACGAUGCACACUGUAGAGCUGCUGUGGGUAACCCUCCUCCUGUAGAGCUGCUGUGGGUAACCCUCCUCCUGUAGAGCUGCUGUGGGUAACCCUCCUCCUGUAGAGCUGUUGUGGGUAACCCUCCUCCUGUAGAGCUGCUGUGGGUAACCCUCAUCCUGUAGAGUUGCUGUGGGUAACCCUCAUCCUGUAGAGCUGUUGUGGGUAACCCUCAUCCUGUAGAGCUGUUGUGGGUAACCCUCCUCCUGUUGAGCUGUUGUGGGUAACCCUCCUCCUGUAGAGGUGCUGUGGGUAACCCUCCUCCUGUAGAGCUGCUGUGGGUAACCGUCCUCCUGUAGAGCUGCUGUGGGUAACCCUCCUCCUGUAGAGCUGCUGUUGGUAACCCUCCUCCUGUAGAGCUGCUGUUGGUAACCCUCCUCCUGUAGAGCUGCUGUUGGUAACCCUCCUCCUGUAGAGCUGCUGUGGGUAACCCUCAUCCUGUAGAGCUGUCCUCCUGUAGAGCUGCUGUGGGUAACCGUCCUCCUGUAGAGCUGUUGUGGGUAACCCUCAUCCUGUAGAGCUGUCCUCCUGUAGAGCUGUUGUGGGUAACCCUCCUCCUGUAGAGCUGUUGUGGGUAACCCUCCUCCUGUAGAGCUGUUGUGGGUAACCCUCCUCCUGUAGAGCUGUUGUGGGUAACCCUCAUCCUGUAGCGCGCCUGUGGGUAACCCUCCUCCUGUUGGUAACCCUCCUCCUGUAGAGCUGUUGUGGGUAACCCUCCUCCUGUAGAGCUGCUGUGGGUAACCCUCCUCCUGUAGAGCUGUUGUGGGUAACCCUCCUCCUGUAGAGCUGCUGUGGGUAACCCUCAUCCUGUAGAGUUGCUGUGGGUAACCCUCCUCCUGUAGAGCUGUUGUGGGUAACCCUCCUCCUGUAGAGCUGCUGUGGGUAACUGUCCUCCUGUAGAGCUGUUGUGGGUAACCCUCCUCCUGUAGAGCUGCUUUUCUCCAGCAGUGUUCUACCCAGAUCCUGAAGCAGAAGUCUACACACCCAGUAACUCUCCAGGAGGUCAGUUAGCUUCCACCCCUGCUGUAUAUUCAUGCUUGUACUGUAUAUCAGGAAAACAAUCAUUAUGGAGUUACAAUAUUUUUCUAUAGGCUUCUUAUAAAACAAAAAUAAAACUAUGGAAAUGCUUAGUUAA